AACGCACAUUGCGCCUCCCAGUAUCCUGGGAGGCAUGCCUGUCCGAGCGUCGUUUCAACCCUCGAGCCCCCGUGGCCCGGUGUUGGGGAACCGCGAGCGAGAGCUCCCGCGGUCCCCGAAAUGCAGUGGCGGUCCCGCAGCGUCCCGGCCCUUUGCGUAGUAAUUAUCGCUCGCAUUGGCAGGCCCGCGGGUUACCAGCCUUGAAACCCCCUACAAAGACCGCUCCGGCGGCACGGUUGACCUCGGAUCAGGUAGGACUACCCGCUGAACUUAA
Molecule: unclassified non-coding RNA, 274 nt
Filed under: uncultured Plectosphaerellaceae
Lineage: Eukaryota; Fungi; Ascomycota; Sordariomycetes; Glomerellales; Plectosphaerellaceae
Description: sequence contains ITS2
Source: RNAcentral